Molecule: ribosomal RNA, 206 nt
Filed under: Morganella morganii
Lineage: Bacteria; Pseudomonadati; Pseudomonadota; Gammaproteobacteria; Enterobacterales; Morganellaceae
Description: partial 16S ribosomal RNA
Rfam family: Bacterial small subunit ribosomal RNA
Source: RNAcentral
UUAAUUGAAGAGUUUGAUCAUGGCUCAGAUUGAACGCUGGCGGCAGGCCUAACACAUGCAAGUCGGGCGGUAACAGGGAGAAGCUUGCUUCUCUGCUGACGAGCGGCGGACGGGUGAGUAAUGUAUGGGGAUCUGCCUGAUGGCGGGGGAUAACUACUGGAAACGGUAGCUAAUACCGCAUAAUGUCUUCGGACCAAAGCGGGGGA